UGGGGAAUAUUGGGCAAUGGGCGAAAGCCUGACCCAGCCAUGCCGCGUGAGUGAUGAAGGCCUUAGGGUUGUAAAACUCUUUCGCUCGGGAAGAUAAUGACGGUACCGAGUAAAGAAGCCCCGGCUAAUUUCGUGCCAGCAGCCGCGGUAAUACGAAAGGGGCUAGCGUUGUUCGGAAUUACUGGGCGUAAAGCGCGCGUAGGCGGCCUGCCAAGUUGGGGGUGAAAUCCCGGGGCUCAACCCCGGAACUGCCUCCAAAACUGGCAAGCUAGAGGGUGUGAGAGGAUAGUGGAAUUCCGAGUGUAGAGGUGAAAUUCGUAGAUAUUCGGAAGAACACCGGUGGCGAAGGCGACUGUCUGGCACACUACUGACGCUGAGGUGCGAAAGCGUGGGGAGCAAACAGGAUUAGAUACCCCCGUAGUCC
RNAcentral lists this ribosomal RNA (424 nucleotides) under uncultured prokaryote. RNAcentral describes it as "bacterial SSU rRNA". It matches the Rfam family "Bacterial small subunit ribosomal RNA", at positions 355 to 796 of the family's 1533-position model. The record is from RNAcentral.